UUCAUUUGUUGGAUGCACUUGGUGUAGUUAUAUUAAUGGUUAACUAAAAUUUUUUGUGGAGGCACCACACGUCUGCUGAAGAGAUGUCUGGAGAAAAAUCUAAUUAUUAGAAGUUGUUUAGAAAAAUAAUUAGUUAUGAACCUAUACCUGGAUGCACUAGGAUUGGUCGAGCCACACUCGAGCCUGAAUGCAGUCUGUGUGGAUUCUAGAACCUGCUAAAGAAUUAAUGUAAUUCUUUGAAUUGGAGGUAGA
Molecule: long non-coding RNA, 252 nt
Filed under: Elaeis guineensis (African oil palm)
Lineage: Eukaryota; Viridiplantae; Streptophyta; Magnoliopsida; Arecales; Arecaceae
Description: long non-coding RNA (EGUI_LNC028505)
Source: RNAcentral